UUUGAAGCCUAAUUUCAUCGGAAUCCAUCGAUUGAGAGAUGGAAAUAUUUGACUUAGAGAAACAAUUUGCAUUCUAUGGAGCUUACCAUAGCAACCCAGUGAAUGUAUUGAUUCACAUGGUGUUUGUGUGGCCUAUCGUGUUCACUGCUCUUAUUCUUUUCGAAUUUACGCCCUCACUUUUCAAUUUACCUCCGAUUCAGCUUUGUGAGCACAGUUCAUUGGUCCUUAAUUAUGGGUUUUUGCUUACUUUGGGGUAUGCACUGUUCUACGUGUGUUUGGACAAGAAAGCUGGCUCAUUGGCUGCUUUGCUAUGUUUCAUUUGUUGGGUUUCCAGUGGUAUGGUUGCUCGUCAAUUGGGGUUCUCUCUCGCCUGGAAGGUUGUUCUAGCGGCUCAAUUGUUCUGCUGGACUGGACAGUUUAUAGGUCAUGGAGUGUUUGAGAAGCGAGCACCUGCCCUUCUGGACAAUCUUGCACAAGCUUUCCUUAUGGCACCGUUCUUUGUUCUCCUUGAGGCCCUCCAAUCUCUUUUUGGCUAUGAACCAUACCCUGGGUUUCAUUCAAAAGUGAAAGCAACAAUUGAUGCUGAAAUCAAAGAAUGGCAGGAGAAGAAACAGAAAAAGAUAUCUUAAAUUUGAUAAGCAAGGUUAUUACCUAUUCUAAUUGUAUCAGUUAAAUGAUCGAAGUUUGUUCGAAUCUGAA
RNAcentral lists this unclassified non-coding RNA (699 nucleotides) under Hevea brasiliensis (rubber tree). The record is from RNAcentral. Lineage: Eukaryota; Viridiplantae; Streptophyta; Magnoliopsida; Malpighiales; Euphorbiaceae.